UCGACGCAGCCAUCGCAGAACACAGCAGAGCACCGCCAUCGCCAUCGCCGUGCAGCCGUCGCCAUCGCCAUCGCCAUCGCCGUGCAGCCGUCGCCAUCGCCAUCGCCAUCGCCAUCGCCGUGCAGCAGAACUCCGUCGCAGUCGCCUCCUCCUCCGUCUAUGACUGCCUCCUCCUCCAUUUGUGACUGGAGAUAAUAACAUAACAAAUGGUGAAACUUUUGAGCGCCCAUCGCAAAGGAAAGCAACAAUACCAUGGAACUCAGUUAUGGUGAACGCAAGUAUAAAGAGUCCAUAUGUGGUCACCAUAAUAUUUCUCAACAUUACUCGAUGCAGCAGGUACAGAUGAGUAGACACUGGAGCGCGCUAGAGACUUGGAG
Molecule: long non-coding RNA, 377 nt
Organism: Ipomoea nil (Japanese morning glory)
Lineage: Eukaryota; Viridiplantae; Streptophyta; Magnoliopsida; Solanales; Convolvulaceae
Exons: 3
Source: RefSeq, a predicted model, not a curated record